RNAcentral lists this ribosomal RNA (402 nucleotides) under bacterium. RNAcentral describes it as "partial 16S ribosomal RNA". It matches the Rfam family "Bacterial small subunit ribosomal RNA", at positions 355 to 776 of the family's 1533-position model. The record is from RNAcentral.
UGGGGAAUUUUGCACAAUGGGGGAAACCCUGAUGCAGCGACGCCGCGUGAUUUAGAAGGCCUUCGGGUUGUAAAAAUCUUUUCUAUGGGAAGAAAAUGACAGUACCAUAGGAAUAAGGACCGGCUAAUUACGUGCCAGCAGCCGCGAUAAUACGUAAGGUCCGAGCGUUGUCCGGAAUCAUUGGGCGUAAAGGGUACGUAGGCGGGUAAGCAAGUUAGAAGUGAAAUCCUAUAGCUCAACUAUAGUAAGCUUUUAAAACUGCUCAUCUUGAGGUAUGGAAGGGAAAGUGGAAUUCCUAGUGUAGCGGUGAAAUGCGCAGAUAUUAGGAGGAAUACCGGUGGCGAAGGCGACUUUCUGGCCAUAACCUGACGCUGAGGUACGAAAGCGUGGGUAGCAAACAGG